RNAcentral lists this ribosomal RNA (400 nucleotides) under uncultured bacterium. RNAcentral's name for it is "bacterial SSU rRNA". It matches the Rfam family "Bacterial small subunit ribosomal RNA", at positions 355 to 752 of the family's 1533-position model. The record is from RNAcentral.
UGAGGAAUAUUGGUCAAUGGGCGAGAGCCUGAACCAGCCAAGUCGCGUGAAGGAUGAAGGUCUUAUGGAUUGUAAACUUCUUUUAUAAGGGAAUAAAAAAGAUCACGUGUGGUCUAUUGCAUGUACCUUAUGAAUAAGCAUCGGCUAACUCCGUGCCAGCAGCCGCGGUAAUACGGAGGAUGCGAGCGUUAUCCGGAUUUAUUGGGUUUAAAGGGUGCGUAGGCGGUUUAUUAAGUCAGUGGUGAAAGUUUUCGGCUCAACCGGAAAAUUGCCAUUGAAACUGAUAGACUUGAGUGUAAACGAGGUAGGCGGAAUUCGUGGUGUAGCGGUGAAAUGCUUAGAUAUCACGAAGAACUCCAAUUGCGAAGGCAGCUUACUAGGCUACAACUGACGCUGAAGC